ACGUGAGCAACCUGCCCCGGACUCUGGGAUAAGCGCUGGAAACGGCGUCUAAUACUGGAUAUGAGACGUGAUCGCAUGGUCAACGUUUGGAAAGAUUUUUCGGUCUGGGAUGGGCUCGCGGCCUAUCAGCUUGUUGGUGAGGUAAUGGCUCACCAAGGCGUCGACGGGUAGCCGGCCUGAGAGGGUGACCGGCCACACUGGGACUGAGACACGGCCCAGACUCCUACGGGAGGCAGCAGUGGGGAAUAUUGCACAAUGGGCGAAAGCCUGAUGCAGCAACGCCGCGUGAGGGAUGACGGCCUUCGGGUUGUAAACCUCUUUUAGCAGGGAAGAAGCGAGAGUGACGGUACCUGCAGAAAAAGCGCCGGCUAACUACGUGCCAGCAGCCGCGGUAAUACGUAGGGCGCAAGCGUUAUCCGGAAUUAUUGGGCGUAAAGAGCUCGUAGGCGGUCUGUCGCGUCUGCUGUGAAAUCUGGAGGCUCAACCUCCAGCCUGCAGUGGGUACGGGCAGACUAGAGUGCGGUAGGGGAGAUUGGAAUUCCUGGUGUAGCGGUGGAAUGCGCAGAUAUCAGGAGGAACACCGAUGGCGAAGGCAGAUCUC
RNAcentral lists this ribosomal RNA (601 nucleotides) under Microbacterium sp. RNAcentral's name for it is "bacterial SSU rRNA". It matches the Rfam family "Bacterial small subunit ribosomal RNA", at positions 115 to 729 of the family's 1533-position model. The record is from RNAcentral. Lineage: Bacteria; Bacillati; Actinomycetota; Actinomycetes; Micrococcales; Microbacteriaceae.